This 186-nucleotide small RNA is filed under the name Arabidopsis thaliana (thale cress). RNAcentral describes it as "ATSL060670". Lineage: Eukaryota; Viridiplantae; Streptophyta; Magnoliopsida; Brassicales; Brassicaceae. The record is from RNAcentral.
AAAUAUAGAAAAAAAUCAUGAUAUAGUUUCAGAUAAGGCGAUAAGGGCCACAAUUUAGUGAAUUUUCCUUGGGCCUCUAAUAUGUUGGAUCUGCUCUGUGUAUAUAUGUAAAAUGUAAGUUCGUUCUUGGGACAAUCACAAGCUCUUAACAACACAUAAGCAAAGAAAAACAAAAAAUAGAAGAAA